GAGGUUUUAGCUUAAUUAAAGUGUCUGAGUUGCAGUCAGGUGAUGCAAGUUAGAGUUUUGCAGGCCUUC
RNAcentral lists this transfer RNA (69 nucleotides) under Cnemaspis baueri. RNAcentral describes it as "tRNA-Ala". It matches the Rfam family "tRNA". From Rfam's summary of the family: Transfer RNA (tRNA) molecules are approximately 80 nucleotides in length. Their secondary structure includes four short double-helical elements and three loops (D, anti-codon, and T loops). RNAcentral also lists the same sequence under 1 other name. Lineage: Eukaryota; Metazoa; Chordata; Lepidosauria; Squamata; Gekkonidae. The record is from RNAcentral.